CCACUGUUGGUCCAGGCCCGAUUCAAACUGGCUCCUGGAUCAGGCGUUUCUCCGCAGCACACUCAAGACGUCAGCGGAACUUCAUCGCCCUCCACAAUGAAAGUUCAAGUUACGUGGCAAAUUAAUACAUCUACUCCAGCUGAUUUAUCUCUGCGGGACGCCACUCUCCCUGCCCCACUACUCCGUUAUCAAUGCCCUGUUAGGAAAGCUAUCGCUGUGUUGGCACUGAAGAAUUCCAUUCCCCUCGUUGCCAGAUGGGGACCUGAGGGUUUGCUGGUGCCGGUGGCUGAUAACAGAAGCAGUUGCCGGUUGUUCCCAAAGCAGAGACGUAUACGGGGUUUGCUGUCGUCAGCUGUUGAUAGCUCCGGCUCUGUGUCAUUAUUUCUCCUAUUCUGGACGCAUAAGGGCAGAUCCACUGAAAUCAACAGGGCUGCCUUGGCUCCCAGCAGCUGAGAAUCUGGUGACAUGGACUUUAAAGCCUGUAUAAUCAAUGCUGCUAGUAGCAAGCUGGAAGGCAGAACUAUUUAUUCAGGUGUUUUUAAUUAAUACGUUGUUUGCCUGUUUUGGUGGUGGUUCUUUUCUUUUACAGCACUUUCUAGGCUGGCUUUCUUACUGAGACAAUAACAACGCAGCAGGACCUAGAAGCAGGACUCCUGGGUUCAAUUCCCCAGCUCUGCCACUCACUGGCCGUGUGACUUCUUUGCUCCCACUUGGACCAGGCGUGAGGACUCCUUUGCGGUUGUGUCUGUCAUUUCAGCUGAUACCCCCUCUGGUGGCUGAAGCCAAGGAACUAACCCUGGAGAAUGGGUAGCAUUCAGCAAGGCGCGCUGACCAUUCCUUUCCCAAUUAACAUGGCAAAGUGUCUGCUGGAAGCUGGGACUGGACCACAGGGGAUGGGUCACUUGAUCAAUUGCCCGGGCCUGUUCACCCUCUCUGAAGCAUUUGGCAUUGGUCACUGUUGGAAGACAGGGCACUGGGCUAGAUGGACCAUUGGUCUGAUCCAGUCUGGCCGUUCUUAUGUCGUGGACGCACAGACGAUAUCAGCCAUCUGAUUUUGUUUUAAUUGCUACCAAACAGGCAACAAACCAGUCAACAAGAUGGAAGUCCCCAGUGAAGCCAGACGAGGCCUCCAGUGACUAGAUAAGGAAGAAGAAUCGAUGGGAGAGGCUUGAGUGAGAGGAGAGUGGUCCAGAGAGCUGGAGCUAGGAGGAUGGACUGUGAUGGUUUUGAGGUUGAUUUCCCUGGCAUCUCUCCACUUAGGGCAAUGUGCUGGGGAAACUCGGGGAUUCACAGUCUAAGCUCUUCACAGCGGGAGGUUGUAACUGCCGCUCUCCGCACCCCACACACCCGUACUGAUCGUCCAUUCUGGAUGGCCCCUCAGCCAUGUAGGUCACUCUGACAAGUCACCAGCCGUGACAUGGAUCUUGGAAAAUAUCCUGAGUAGCCUGGAAGCACCGAGGCUGGUUUCUCUGACGUGCUGCAGCUUGGGCAGCCGUCUGCUCCUGUGCAAAGCGAAUAUAAAAAUGCUACCAAGGGAGCAUGUGGCUCCAGACGAGGUGCACGGGAUUGCACACGAGCACAGCGAUGGAGGAUCAGACUGUGUGUUUUUAGAUUAAAUUAAAGACUUGCAGGUUCCACUGCUGCUUUCAUAUGAUAAUUAUCUGCUGGGGCAGCCUUUGAAUGGCUGGGGACGGCCGUUAGCCUUUCAUGGCUCCAGAUUUAGCACCCGGUGGCCUGUAUGAAUCUAGGUUCUCUUCUCAUUUAUGCCAGUUUUUCUCGGCUGUAACUCCAUUAGCUUCAGUGGGGCUGCUUCUGUUUGACAUCAGAAGAAUUGACAGGAGAAAUUGAGCACCGGGUGUUUCAAACUGUUAUGUCCAUGUGCACUUCCAGGGAUGAAUUUGGCCCAAUGUGUGUUAAAUAAUGGUCCGUUCAUUUGUCACUCUUCAAUUUUGCACCCCCAAAAGUGUAUUAUUGUCAAGAGAGAUAAUUAAGUAAAUAAUGAGAAUAUUUGAAUGCAGAUGAGCUGCAUUUAAAAAAUUCGGCGUGUGAGCGAAAUGCAUCCUCAAUUGUAACAUCUUCUGCAAAAUGUGGAGUGGUCGAGGUAGUCAGAAGAACUUUGAUGGAACAAUCUUCGGGAUGAGAAAACAGAUCGAUGGUGUCAAUUAAAACUUUUUUCUCCUCCUCUUUUUUUUUUCCAAUGUCAAAAUAUCCCAUUUGGACAUUGUUGGAAUUAAACAUUUAGAUUUUUUUCCUUUUGAAAUACUUUUCAUUUCAAAAUUUGUUAUAAAAUAAAAUAAAUCGAACUCACAAUGAAAUGUUUCAGUUUUGUUGCAAAUAAAACAUUUCCAUCAAUCCUAAAAGAAAUUUUUCUGCAAUUUUCUUUUGUGGAAAAUUUUGAACUUUUUGGGUUUGCUCCGAAUUGGAAUGAAAAUACAUGUCAAAAUCUCGACAUUCUCUGCCAAAAGGCAUUUCCGUUCUCCGCACAGCUCCAGGAGGUAGUAAAGCUCUUAUAGGACAUUCGGGCUAUCUUCAUGCAGAAAUCUUUUUGCUAAUAGACACAUUCUGUAAUCCAAUACUCGAAAGACAAAAAAUGUGUCUUAGAGCAUCGCCUUCAUGGAGUCAGAGGAAGAUAAUUAAAAUGUAAAGAUGAGGCAUUUCCCUCCCUCCUUUUCCCUAAAGCCUCCACUCUCUUCCAUCUCUAAAGAUCUAGCCAAACAGGGCUGGCUGGGACUGAGAUAACAUUUGAAAAAAGGAUUAAUUUCUUCUUUCCAGGCCUUUAUCUGCCUACCUGGAGGAAUAUUGCCUGUGCUGCAACACACCGGUUGGUCUAAAUCUGUUUCUCUUCCAGCUUCUUAAGAGGAAAACAUGUCGUUAUCCCAGGGAAAUGAGAGAGGUCUUGGGUGUGGAAAACCUCAUUGUGAUCUGAUUGUAUUAAAAAGGAUAUUGAGCUGGUGUAAUAAAAUAGAAUAGGA
Molecule: long non-coding RNA, 2972 nt
Organism: Trachemys scripta elegans
Lineage: Eukaryota; Metazoa; Chordata; Testudines; Emydidae
Exons: 2
Source: RefSeq, a predicted model, not a curated record